CUUUGAUACCCUUCACAACACCUUUAACAGAGACACUCAGAGAACAGUAAACUUGUUCUACACAAAAUAUAUCUUCAAAGAUUGAAGAAGAGUAUCCACUAACUUGGAGAGGACCUAUUUCCUUGAUGAAAAGGAUAUAUUUAUGUAGCAUCUAUUCUGUAGGAUGCCAUAUAUUGUGCACUUAGGAGACGGGAAAUAUUGUGCACUGCUGAUACUGCCAGAGAGAGCUUUAUGGAAUCUACGUGGCUGCAGGUUGUUGGGGCUGGACAGAAGAGCAUGGGAGCACAGAAUGCCAUCAUUCUGAAAAAUUAUUUCAGACUCCUAAGAUCCAGAUGAGCACUUCAACUUGUGUUUCAAAUGAGUACUUUGAAUGAAUACAUCCGAGGUGCAAAGUAGGCAACCUGUAGCUUACAAUAUAUGCAGUCUCAUCACUUCAGUGACACCAAUCAGUCUUCCUGUGCCAGGCAUGAAAAAAGAUAGGUAAGGAGAAUCGAAGAACUACAGGCCAGUCUCACCUUGAUUCCUUGGAAGGUGAUACAGCAAAUAACCCUAGAAGCAAUUUCCAAAAUAAGGACAAGAAGAUUGCAGUCAACAUGGAUCUAAGAAAGAGAAGACAUAUCCAGCCAAUGUGAUCACCUUCUGUGAUCAAAUGACCAACUUGUUGGAUAAGGGGCAAGAGCUAGAUAUGGUAUCUUGAUUUUAGCAAGAUAUGUCUCUCAUAGCAUCUUUACAGGCAAACUAGAUGAGUGGACAUCUAGAUGGAUUGAAAGCUGGCUGAAAUGGGUAGGUGGGUUGAAACUGUCUCAAAGGACUGCAAUCAAUGGUACAAAGUCCUGUUGGAAACAAGAUACCAGUGGUAUACCUCAGGUAUCAAUAUGGAGCCAACACUGUUUAAAAUUCCUGCUAAUGACCUGUAUGAUGGAGCGCAUCCUCAGCAAAUUUGCACAGGAUACAAAUGUGGGAGGAGUGGUUGAUGCAGCAGAGUAGUGCUACCAUUCAAAGGGAAAUCAGCAGGCUGGAGAAGUGGGCUGACAGAAGCAUCAUGAAGCUCAACAAAGGAAAAUACAAAGUCCUAAGGCUGAAGAGAAACAACUCCAUACACCAGUACAUACUGGGGACCAGCUAGAAAACAACAUGGCAGAGGACCUCUGGAUCCUUGUGUGCAACAAGUUGAACAUGAGCCAGUUACAUGUAUUUGUAGUAAAAAAAGGCUAAAGAUAUCUUUGGCUGCAGUGGGAGAAGUGUUGCCAGCAGGUGGAAGGAUGUGAUCCUUUCAUUCUACUCAGUGUUUGAGAGGUCAUACCUGGAGUACUGGUUCCAAGUUUGGACUCUAGUAAAAGAGAGAUGUGGGCACAUUGGAUUAUUUCCAGUGAAGGACCAUUAAGAUAAUUAAGCAUUUGGAGCAUCUUUCAUACGAAGAGAGGCUGAGAAAGCUGGAACAGUUCAACCUGGAAAAAAAAAAAAAAGGCUUAAGGAGAGAGUCAUGAGCAUGUACACAAUGCAUAUAAAUACUUGAUGGGGAGAA
Molecule: long non-coding RNA, 1525 nt
Filed under: Gallus gallus (chicken)
Lineage: Eukaryota; Metazoa; Chordata; Aves; Galliformes; Phasianidae
Description: lncRNA (ENSGALG00010004643.1)
Source: RNAcentral